This 301-nucleotide ribosomal RNA is filed under the name uncultured bacterium. Its description in RNAcentral is "partial 16S ribosomal RNA". It matches the Rfam family "Bacterial small subunit ribosomal RNA", at positions 509 to 809 of the family's 1533-position model. The record is from RNAcentral.
CAGCCGCCACGGUAAAACGGAGGGUGCAAGCGUUAAUCGGAAUUACUGGGCGUAAAGCGCACGCAGGCGGUCUGACAAGUCAGAUGUGAAAUCCCCGGGCUUAACCUGGGAACUGCAUUUGAAACUGUCAGGCUGGAGUCUUGUAGAGGGGGGUGGAAUUCCAGGUGUAGCGGUGAAAUGCGUAGAGAUCUGGAGGAAUACCGGUGGCGAAGGCGGCCCCCUGGACAAAGACUGACGCUCAGGUGCGAAAGCGUGGGGAGCAAACAGGAUUAGAUACCCGGGUAGUCCCUGUCUCUUAUAA